CCUACGGGAGGCAGCAGUGGGGAAUAUUUCACAAUGGGGGAAACCCUGAUGCAGCGACGCCGCGUGAGUGAAGAAGUAAUUCGUUAUGUAAAGCUCUAUCUGCCGGGAAGCAAAUGCCGUUACCUGAGUAAGAAGCCCCGACUAACUACGUGCCAGCAGCCGCGGUACUACGUAGGGGGCAAGCGUUAUCCGGAGUUACUGGGUGUAAAGGGAGCGUAGACGGCAGUGCAAGUCUGGCGUGAAAGGCGUGGACUCAACCCCCGGACUGGUCUGGAAACUGGACGGCUGGAGGGCAGGAGAGGUAAGUGGAAUUCCUAGUGUAGCGGUGAAAUGCGUAGAUAGUAGGAGGAACACCCGUGGCGAAGGCGGCUUACUGGACUGUAACUGACGCUGAGGCUCGAAAGCGUGGGGAGCAAACAGGAUUAGAUACCCGGGUAGUC
This 440-nucleotide ribosomal RNA is filed under the name uncultured bacterium. RNAcentral describes it as "partial 16S ribosomal RNA". It matches the Rfam family "Bacterial small subunit ribosomal RNA", at positions 338 to 795 of the family's 1533-position model. The record is from RNAcentral.